CAAAAUAGAUGUUUUUAAUGUUGUCCACUUUUAAAAAGUUUUUUAAGAGACAGGAGUCUCCAAUCUGUCAUCCAGGCCGGAGUGCAGUGGCACAACCAUAGAUCAUUGCAGCCUGGAUCUGCUGGGUUCCAGGGAUCUUCUUACCUCCGCCUCCCAAGUAGCUAGGACCACAGUAUAAUUUAACCUCCCACUUGAAUACAAAGCAUAAUUUGAUUGAGAGGUGUGUUUAUAUCACAUGAAACACAAUAAAGCAG
Long non-coding RNA from Symphalangus syndactylus (siamang), 254 nucleotides. RefSeq lists it as uncharacterized. NCBI's taxonomy places the organism in Eukaryota, Metazoa, Chordata, Mammalia, Primates, Hylobatidae. The record is from RefSeq and is a predicted model, not a curated record.